ACGUUUUGUUCGUGCAUCGGAUGCGGAGGCGCCGUCCGUAGCGCGCAGUACGCAGGUAGCGCCCGCACGCCCGCCACGCUGCCGCGCGUACGCCCCAGCGGGGGGGAGAUCGUCGACACUUGCUGCUGACGGUAGUAAUCCAUCUGGGAGUGAAUGAGCAGUUCGGUCGCGCAGCAAAAUCCCUAUCCCCUCCAAGCCUGCCGUAAGGAACUUCGUUCCAAAAAUUUAAAUCUAUAUAUUAGUACGUGAAGCAAGAACUUUGUACCCCUUCGUAAGAAAAUUGCGCUGACAGAGGAGAAUGAAAUUUCGCACAUUUAUAGAGAAUAUAGAAAAGGAGUUCAGAAUGUUAAUUUUUUUUUUUUAAAUUAUGCAUUAAAAAUAAAUUACAUCAAUAAAACAUUACAUUACUACCAUGUAUUUGACACACACACGCAUGUAUACUCUUUGUUUAUUGUCAAACUAUUCUUAUUGCUUAUAGUGUAUGAUCAAAUUGAGGAUAUAAGUAUUGUUUGUCUUUA
Long non-coding RNA from Bombyx mori (domestic silkworm), 518 nucleotides. RefSeq lists it as uncharacterized. NCBI's taxonomy places the organism in Eukaryota, Metazoa, Arthropoda, Insecta, Lepidoptera, Bombycidae. The transcript has 2 exons. The record is from RefSeq and is a predicted model, not a curated record.